This 92-nucleotide small RNA is filed under the name Erinaceus europaeus (western European hedgehog). RNAcentral describes it as "Y RNA (ENSEEUG00000020113.1)". The record is from RNAcentral. Lineage: Eukaryota; Metazoa; Chordata; Mammalia; Eulipotyphla; Erinaceidae.
GGCUGGUCUGAGUGCAGUGGUGUUUACACUUAAUGAGAACCUGCUGUGGUAUCUAACCUCACGUUUCUACUAGUGCUCCCGACCUGCCAGCA